Molecule: long non-coding RNA, 419 nt
Filed under: Capsella rubella
Lineage: Eukaryota; Viridiplantae; Streptophyta; Magnoliopsida; Brassicales; Brassicaceae
Description: long non-coding RNA (CRUB_LNC001310)
Source: RNAcentral
UUUCAUCGUGUUCCACUAGAUUAACUGGCGACUCUACUCUGUGUUUCUCCAACAGAGUUAUCUUCUUCCCUCCUGCAUCUGCCAUCUUGUUACCCUCAAUGAAGCUCUGCGGAACAUGCUGCAUAGAAUAGGAAAUAAUAAGCUUGCUCAGUACACUUUACAAGGCCUCAAAACCCAAAACUCAAACCACGAGAGCUUGCUUUAACUUUCAAGUCUACAAUAUUUGAGACUGGCUGGUAGAAAGACAGAAAGUGGAAGCCUGGGUGAAGAAGUUGGAAGAAAUGUGGGUUUGAGAGAUUGAAGAACUAUAUCCUCCACUGUUGAGGUUGGAAAAAGCGCUUCUCCACAAAGCAAACGAAUAAUUUAUCAAGUCUUCAAUUUAUGACUUAAGUGUGCUUUUGGUAAUCCUCUAACUCUAC